AGGCGCCCUGCCUGGGCCACCGGCAGCCCCUCUUCACUUGGGUAAACAGGAAAGGAAAAACCCCUCGUGGAUUAAACAUUAAAAAAAAAAUAUCCCGGUGGGGGUGAAAGAGGGGGUGGGGCUUCCUGCGGGUGUUGGACACCGGAGAGCAACUCCAGAGCCCGCGCAGUGGUCGCCUCCUGGCCAGGAGAUGGACAAUCAGGAGGAGGGCGCAGGGCGCCUGGGCUGCUCCGGACCCUAGACGCCUUCGCUUCGCCAUCCAGCCAGGCUCCGGUCCUCCAGGGGUUUGGCGACGUCUGUUCUUACCUAGACGGUGUCAGGGAAGCUGAAAAUCUUCAUUCCGGGGCUCCAGGAUGUGCCCCAGUGAGAUGGGAAUGCUGUGGCACCUUUGGUCCCCCGUGCUCAUCAGCCUGACCGCCCUUUUCUCCAAAGUGACGGAAGGCCGAGGGAUCCUGGAGAGCACCCAGAGGUUCUCGCUGCUGCCCACCUAUCUGCCCGUGACCUACCACAUCCACCACGCGGACGUCUCCUUCUUCCUGAAGGAGGCCAACCAGGACAUCAUGCGCAACUCCAGCCUGCAGUCCCGGGUGGAGUCCUUCCUCGUCUACAAGUCCAAGGGGCUGCCGGUGCUCAACGCCAGCUACGGGCCCUUCUCCAUGGAGCAGGUGGUGCCCCAGGACCUGCUGCUGCCCUCCAACCCCUUCGGGUUCACCAGCAAGUUCUCCCUUAACUGGAAACUGAAGUCCUUCAUCCUGCGGGACAAGAUCUACCUGAGCCGGCCCAAGGUGCAAAUCCUCUUCUACAUCGUGGGCAGAGACUGGGACGACCACCGGGCGGCGGAGAGGCUGCCCUGCCUGCGGGUCUUCGCUUUCAGGGAGACCCGGGAGGUGAGGGGCAGCUGCCAGCUGGGCGGGGACCUGGGGCUGUGUGUGGCAGAGCUGGAGCUCCCGGCCAGCUGGUUCAGCCCCCCGACAGUGGUGGGGAGGCGGAAGCCCGCAGAGCAGCCCGAGGGGAGUCCUGUGGAGCUCUACUACACUGUGCAGCCUGGGGGCGAGCGAGGGGACUGCACCCGAGAGGAUUCCAGAAACAGCAAUGGCGCUCGGACUGGCCACAAUGACAUGGACGAGUCUGCGCCCCCCUUGCACAGGAUUGGGAGUGUCUUCCUCUACCAGACCCACAGCUCCCCGGCCCUGAGGGAGCUGCGUUUGGACAGCAAUGUGGCCGUUCACUAUGUCCCAACCACGGUUCGACAAGGAGCCGUACUGACUUUCCCCAUCUCCAUUUCCAGAAACUCCACCGAGGACCGCUUCACGCUGAGGGCAAAGGUGAAGAAGGGUGUGAACAUCGUGGGCGUGCGAGCCAGCAGCCCUUCCAUCUGGGAUGUCCAGGAGAGCGCGGAGUACACCGGGAGGUACGCGCCAGCUGUCAUCAUCUGUCAGAAGAAGUCUGGCGGCUCAGAAAACAGUGUGGACGGCACCUCCUACGAAGUCAUGCAGAUCGAUGUGGAAGUGGAGGAGCCCAGUGACCCGCCCACCACACAGCUGGUCACGUGGCAGGUGGAGUACCCAGGAGAGAUCACGUCGGACCUGGGAGUGUCCAAGAUCUACGUGAGCCAGAAGGACUUGAUUGGAGUUAUCCCGCUGGCCAUGGAGGCGGAGAUCCUCAACACAGCCAUCCUCACUGGGAAGACGGUGGCCGUCCCCGUGAAGGUGGUCUCCGUGGAGGAGGACGGCACCGUGACGGGGCUGCUGGAGUCGGUGGAGUGCAGGUCGUCCGAUGAAGACGUGCUCAAGCCCGUGGCUCAGCUCCCCACAGCCUGGACAGCAAGACCACGGCUCCUCCUUGCUUUGUGCUUCUUCCUAGAAUAGCCACAGAAACCUCAGGCCACUCUGGGCUGUGUGUGCUCAUUGUCUGCCAGGUGAGGAUGUCUGGUGUGUGACCCAUCCCCCCGGGCUGCUCCCCAGUGGCCUUUUGGAGGCAUUUCUUGGGAAAGUGUCCAGCCAAGA
This is a long non-coding RNA of Ictidomys tridecemlineatus (thirteen-lined ground squirrel), 2006 nucleotides long. The record is from Ensembl. NCBI's taxonomy places the organism in Eukaryota, Metazoa, Chordata, Mammalia, Rodentia, Sciuridae.